Molecule: non-coding RNA, 1114 nt
Organism: Salmo salar (Atlantic salmon)
Lineage: Eukaryota; Metazoa; Chordata; Actinopteri; Salmoniformes; Salmonidae
Source: RefSeq, a predicted model, not a curated record
AGCAACCGUAACUAUACACAAAAAUACCAAAGUCAAUAUCAGCAUGUAACGUAGCUAGUUAGCUGUAAAAUCUCCACUAUCACUUUAGGAGUCUUCAAUCGCACCAUGUUCAACCUGGGUCCUGUUUCAGAAAGCCGGUUUAGUGAAAACUCAAGAGUUGAAGGAAACGGAGUUUUCGGUUUGACAAAGCCAGUUGAGCUUAACUCUGAGUCAGUUACUAUGGCAACAUACUAUGUGAAGCUAACCUGCUCGCUGGCAGUUUCUUUUCAACUAACCCGGAGAUUCUCCUCUUCUUUGUUUUAGACAUCCGUGGCGCUUAGCAUAUUUCUAAGGCAACCGUCAGUCGGAUUGUCAGAAAUGUGACUCUUGCAUUGAAACGUUUACUGUACACUUUUGUGGUGUUCCAAGUCACAGACCCACAAGACUCAAACAAGAAUUCCAAAGAAUUGCAGGUAUCAGUCUAAGCAAUCAUUUAUUUAUUAUGAAGCUUUGAAACUUGAAAAACAAAUCAAUUAAUUUGAUAUAUUUUAGGGAUUUCAGGUGUGAUUGGCUUCAUAGAUGGCACUCUUAUUCCUAUCACACCUCCUUCAGUAAAUGAAGGAGAUUAUGUGAAUUGUGAAUAGGAAGUCUUUCCACAGCAUUAAUGUGCAGGUAGGCCUAAAUAGUAGCCUUUAGCAUUCCAAAUGAAAGACACUUCACAAUACAGCUACUGCAGCUAAGAUCAUGUUAUGCAGCCCACAUCAUCAGCAACGUGGAAGCAAAGUGGCCUGGGUCUGUGGCUGACUCGCACAUUUUUAAUGAGUGCGCUAGAUUUGUCCGUGGAGAGUUUGAUGGUUACCUGCUCGGUGACAGAGGGACAGGGUAUAGAUGACCAUUGGGAUGCUCAAGGCCCGGUUCCAGUGCCUUCGUAGGCUCAGGGUCAACCCAGAAAUGGAAAUGGACAUUAUUGUGGCAUGUGUGAUUCUGCACAACAUUGCCACAAUUAGAGGAGAACAAUGUCCUACUCAACCAGUGAACGAUCCUGAGAUGGAAGAGCAGUCAGACACAAUAUGCUACCAUCAUUUCUGAUUGACCCAUCACCUCCCCAGUGUCAAAUAAAUACAUUAUGCCUUUC